This 454-nucleotide unclassified non-coding RNA is filed under the name Hevea brasiliensis (rubber tree). Lineage: Eukaryota; Viridiplantae; Streptophyta; Magnoliopsida; Malpighiales; Euphorbiaceae. The record is from RNAcentral.
GUUUGAUUAUAUUUGGGUAUGGGUGAUAUUUACUUGAGAUUUAUUGUGUAGGGUUUGUUAUUUGAGGAGAAAACGAGGCUGGGUUCUACACCACCGAGUUGCCACAACAAGUGCAACAGAUGCCACCCAUGCAUGGCAGUUCAAGUGCCUGCAGUACCAAGUCACAGCAGAGUCCAGCCGGGUUUAGCCAAAAGCAUGGAGUUCUUGGACCCAUAUCCUUCGCCUUCAGGUAACAGGUACUCAAAUUAUAAGCCACUCGGUUGGAAGUGUUGCUGUGAUGGCCAUUUUUACAAUCCUUAAAUCUUCAAAGAGCAAAGUGAAACGGCGAUACGUGCUUUUGAAUAAUUUUUCUUCUCUCUUUUUUGCUUUUGAAUGUUGGAUUCUUUAGAGAUGUAAAUUUGUUACCGUUAGUUGUACAUUUAAACUUCAUAUAAUGUAUUCUAAUCUUGAGAAG